CUAUUCAACACACUACUAUAAGCGCGGUAGCACACCAAUGAGAUAGUGGUUUCAAGAUGAAGAUCCCGGCUUGUUUAUUUAUCGCAUCCUUGUUGCUGUUCAUUGCAUUCGUUCAAGAUACCGAGGCAGCAUUUGGACCAUUUCAUCCAGGGAGAAGGGAACUAGGGAGAAAGUUUGAAAUAACAGCCAGGAGCCUUUGUGAGGCAGCCAGAAGCUUGGAUUGUGAGGGAAUGAAACUGAAAGACUGACCCGAGAAGAAACAUAAGUGACUACAUUUCUCAGGAACUCGAAUACAAACAUCACUGAGUCAAUUAUGUGCUAAAAUAACUGUCUGCCAGAAAAUGUAGAGUAAAACAUUGUCUAAAUUUUCUGGAAUAGCAGAACAUUAAUAAACCAUGGACAUUCAGCAUCGAA
Long non-coding RNA from Orbicella faveolata, 414 nucleotides. RefSeq lists it as uncharacterized. The record is from RefSeq and is a predicted model, not a curated record. Lineage: Eukaryota; Metazoa; Cnidaria; Anthozoa; Scleractinia; Merulinidae.